AGAGGGGUCUCAGAACAUUGGCCAGAGUAGAAAGAGAGAAGAACUGGCAGAAUAGGACAGUAUCUUCUCUAGGGAAAAAGUCACAACUGAUGAAGAAAAAUAACCCUGUGGAUCCAACAGAAGCAGGCUCAAGCUAAGGUUACUGAGAGGAGAACACAGCUAACGAAUCAUUAGCCUACAGCAUUCAUAUUCUCUUUCCUGUUGACCACCCCUCAAAAGUGCUUUCAAAUCUACUCAGGAAGCUACCAGUGAGACGCUGGGAAGAGGAGAUAGCAGACGUCUUUUCUACAUUCAGAGGUCCACAGAAAUGUCCUGGGGAGGAUUUUGACUUCUCAGCAAUAGAUGAGCACAGUUCCAGUCAACUCCACUGAGCAUCUCUCAUCUUCUGCACCACCACCAUCACCAAAGUCAGGAGUAAAAAGCACAGGAGAGAACUGAUGAAGUCGGUUGCACAGACUGCCUGAGUCCAGGGGUCCCUUACUUCAUCCCAGACUAAAGGAGGAGAACCUAGCAAAUGAAGGCAGCUCUGCUGUACAAACACCAGCACUGUAUUUUCCAGGAAGUAUGUCAAAUGUUGGGUAGCAGGCUUUAUAAGAAGACAUACAGCGGUGAACUAGGGCUGGCCAGAUCACUCAUCUAAAGCAAACAUUUCUGUGAGGCACUGCCAGGAGAACCAGGCCUCCUUCCCUCCCUGCUCUUUCCACAACUGGAAGCAACAAACAACCACAAUAAAAAGGGGAGCUUUGUGCCAGACUUUUUCCUCCCAUGUCUGCAGCCAAGUUGGCUGCAACGCUACUCGACUUAAGCGCAUUAUGAAUGGGCUGUCCUUCCAGAUGCAAGGAUCCUGGCACCAGGCUGCAAGCAUACUGCACGAAUCCAAGAGAAGAAACUGAACUGGAAUGUGUGAGCCAGGAAAAGCAGAACUGUAAUCCUCCUGAAACUAGAAGUGGUUUUUACAUGUUAUCGAACUACAAAGAACCUCAGGAGGUAGGCAGGUCCCAAACUGGGAGUCAUCAUGGGGAACUGCAUAUAUACAUUGCUCUAAUGAAACAGGACAGCAAAGUGGCUUAAAUAUCUGAGGAUUCUGGAAUUAGAAGACCUAGGUUUGAGUUCUCACUCAAGCACUUGCUAAUCAUGUGAUCAUGGGUGUAAAUCUCUGAACUUCAGUGAAGAAGGUAGUUUGUAAAUUAUAAAGUGCUAUAUAAAAAUGGAAGCUAUUAUUAUUAGAGACUGUGAGCAGAUCCCUGCCCUGGGCUUACUGAGGGAAAAAACAUGAAGCACAACCAUAGCCUUCUAUCCUGGGGUACUAGACACGUUUCAAAAUAUCAGGAAAGCAUAAAUUGAAUGUAAAUAGCAGAUUACUGAGGGUUUUACUUAUCCUAUAUUAAUGUUAAGUCCAAUAUGUAAUAUAUACAGCAUAUUACAAGCUGGGAAUAACUAUUUUCCUCAUAAAAGACACCAACAAGAUGUUCUUCAUGGGUGGGUAUGUUAAUAGGUAUCUGUGUGGCAACAUUAAUUCAUGGGCAUAUUUCAGCUCUUGCUGGUCAAAUGAAACACUCUGGUUAGUCCCCAGUCUCAGCUAUCUUCUGGCUUAGCACCUGUCUAUAGUGGGACACUUGCUCUGCCAAGAUUAAUUCCACAUCUUCUUUGUCUGAGAGCUUCAAGUACAGUUGGUUAUUGGGACCGCUGGCUAUGAAUUGAAGGCCUUCAGAAAACAGGAGGGCAUUCCUAGCCUGUUGAGUUGCUAUAUUCUCUGUCAUUAGUCCUAAGUUCAUAGGUCACAUGGGCCUCUCACCUAGUCCCACUCAACUCCCCUGGAAAUGGGUAGUGGGUCAGAUAAAGUUCUGCCAACUUUGUUGGAAACAAUCACAACUGCUGGGGAGGAACCUCAGGAUAUAAUGGGGAAAGACCUUUAGGUGGCAGAGGCCAGUUCUGCUAAUGGUGCCAAAGGCUUCACAAAGUUGGUACACACAGUUUGAAGAUCUUAGAUGUUACACAGUCAUGAGGAAGAGGGUGCACUGUUUGACAUGAAGCUUCAGAGUUUCCCACAUCUUUGGCAUGCCUCCACUAAAAAGCCAAGAUAAUUCAGGAAUCUACAAACAGGUAACCCAGUGAGAGAUGACCUAUGGAUACCUAGAUGAUUAUGCAAACGUGGCCUAUGGACAUACAAUUAUUUAUAGAGAUGUAAUCUACAUACAUCUGAUGCAGAAUAAGGGCCAAAUGAGUGUGUUCCCACUUCAAUGUGAGUUUUCAAUAUCUUACAAGUAUAACAGAAAUCUAUGAGAACUACUUUGAAAAUACAUACGUGGGGCAGCUAGGUGGC
Molecule: long non-coding RNA, 2323 nt
Organism: Vombatus ursinus (common wombat)
Lineage: Eukaryota; Metazoa; Chordata; Mammalia; Diprotodontia; Vombatidae
Exons: 3
Source: RefSeq, a predicted model, not a curated record